Lolium rigidum is the source of this 706-nucleotide long non-coding RNA. RefSeq lists it as uncharacterized. Lineage: Eukaryota; Viridiplantae; Streptophyta; Magnoliopsida; Poales; Poaceae. The transcript is spliced from 2 exons. The record is from RefSeq and is a predicted model, not a curated record.
AAGGAGUUUGAAGAAAAGCUCAUUGCGCAAGAAAGGAUGACAGGGAGGUUUCCAUUUCUUCUGCCCAAUAAUCCAUACCAUUCUUACUAUCUCAAGAGUCUCCAAGAAACCCAAGAGGGCAUGGAAGCGGUGGGCGUGGGCAUGAGCCUGGUGCCGCUCAGAGUGCAAGAGUUCCAGGAGGACUUGCUUUGGGCUCGCGGCCGCAUGCACAGGCUGCGGGAGGUGCGGCAUGCCCCAUACAGUGGUGAUCCUAGAAACUUCAGUUUAUUUGUUUUACUUGCAUCUGAGAAUGAUUUUACAUUUGUUUGUUGUUGACACUCAAUUUUCUUCCUAAUAUUCCUCUGCAGCGUUGCGAAGGAGGAGCACGACCUCGAGCCCGCCGCACGAGAUGACGAUUACAUCAGCCCGAGGAUCUACAUGUGUGAGGAGCCCUGUGCCACGACACCACACCACAUCUACGACAUGGAAGACCAUAAUAUUGGCUGACCUCACCGCUUUUAGGGACGAAAGCCGCUGGCCGAGAUGGUUCUUCAGUGUUAAUAUUGGUCGGUUGAUUUGGCUACGGUCUGUCAAAUUGGCGGUUACUAAUUAACCUAAGCAAAAGGGAACAUCUAGGGAUGUGACUGACUAUACUAGGAUCCCACGUGAUAUAUUUUUUAUCUAUAGAUCGAUUUCACUAAUUAAUGAUAGAAAGAGGGCUCAUUCA